Molecule: ribosomal RNA, 2203 nt
Filed under: Plasmodium falciparum 365.1
Lineage: Eukaryota; Apicomplexa; Aconoidasida; Haemosporida; Plasmodiidae
Description: SSU rRNA
Rfam family: Eukaryotic small subunit ribosomal RNA
Source: RNAcentral
CCUGGUUGAUCUUGCCAGUAGUCAUAUGCUUGUCUCACAGAUUAAGCCAUGCAAGUGAAAGUACAUAUGUAAAUAAUAUAUUGAAACUGCGAACGGCUCAUUAAAACAGUUAUAAUCUACUUGAUGUUUUUAAUAUAAGGAUAACUACGGAAAAUCUGUAGCUAAUACUUGUGAAAAUACCUUUUGAUAUAUACAUAUGUAUGUAUCAUUAAGGUAUGUAUUUGUUAGAUAUAAGAAUAAAAUAAAUAUAAUUGAAUUAUAACAAAGAAGAAACACAUAAAAUAUGUGUAUUAUCAAUCGAGUAUCUGACCUAUCAGCUUUUGAUGUUAGGGUAUUGACCUAACAUGGCUAUGACGGGUAACGGGGAAUUAGAGUUCGAUUCCGGAGAGGGAGCCUGAGAAAUAGCUACCACAUCUAAGGAAGGCAGCAGGCGCGUAAAUUACCCAAUUCUAAAAAAGAGAGGUAGUGACAAGAAAUAACAAUACAAUAUCGAAAAAUGAUUUUGUAAUUGGAAUGAUAGGAAUUUACAAGGUUCCUAGAGAAACAAUUGGAGGGCAAGUCUGGUGCCAGCAGCCGCGGUAAUUCCAGCUCCAAUAGCAUAUAUUAAAAUUGUUGCAGUUAAAACGUUCGUAGUUGAAUAUUAAAGAAUCCGAUGUUUCAUUUAAACUGGUUUGGGAAAACCAAAUAUAUUAUAUAUUUUGCUUUGUUCAAAAUAAGGUUUUCUAAUAAAUUAUGUUUUUAUCAGAUAUGACAGAAUCUUUUUUAAAAUCUCUUCAAUAUGCUUUUAUUGCUUUUGAGAGGUUUUGUUACUUUGAGUAAAAUUAAGUGUUCAUAACAGACGGGUAGUCAUGAUUGAGUUCAUUGUGUUUGAAUACUACAGCAUGGAAUAACAAAUAUGAAUAAGCUAAUUAUUUUUUUUUUUCAUAAUUUUUUUUGAUAUUCUUAUUAGCUUAGUUACGAUUAAUAGGAGUAGCUUUGGGGGCAUUCGUAUUCAGAUGUCAGAGGUGAAAUUCUAAGAUUUUCUGGAGACGGACUACUGCGAAAGCAUUUGCCUAAUCUAUUUCCAUUAAUCAAGAACGAAAGUUAAGGGAGUGAAGACGAUCAGAUACCGUCGUAAUCUUAACCAUAAACUAUACCGACUAGGUGUUGGAUGAAUAUAAAAAAUAUAUAAAUAUGUAGCAUUUCUUAGGGAAUGUUGAUUUUAUAUUAGAAUUGCUUCCUUCAGUACCUUAUGAGAAAUCAAAGUCUUUGGGUUCUGGGGCGAGUAUUCGCGCAAGCGAGAAAGUUAAAAGAAUUGACGGAAGGGCACCACCAGGCGUGGAGCUUGCGGCUUAAUUUGACUCAACACGGGAAAACUCACUAGUUUAAGACAAGAGUAGGAUUGACAGAUUAAUAGCUCUUUCUUGAUUUCUUGGAUGGUGAUGCAUGGCCGUUUUUAGUUCGUGAAUAUGAUUUGUCUGGUUAAUUCCGAUAACGAACGAGAUCUUAACCUGCUAAUUAGCGGCAAGUACACUAUAUUCUUAUUUGAAAUUGAACAACGAGAUCUUAACCUGCUAAUUAGCGGUAAGUACACUAUAUUUUUAUUUGAAAUUGAAUAUAGGUAAUUAUACAUGUUUAUUCAGUGUUCAAAUUAGGAUAUUUUUUUAUUAAAAUAUUCUUUUCCCUGUUCUACUAAUAAUUUGUUUUUUUUUACUCUAUUUCUCUCUUCUUUUAAGAAUGUACUUGCUUGAUUAAAUAAAGCUUCUUAGAGGAACAGUGUGUAUCUAACACAAGGAAGUUUAAGGCAACAACAGGUCUGUGAUGUCCUUAGAUAAACUAGGCUGCACGCGUGCUACAAUGAUAUAUAUAACAAGUUGUUAAAAAUAUACUUAUAUUUGUAUCUUUGAUGCUUAUAUUUUGCAUACUUUUCCUCCGCCGAAAGGUGUAGGUAAUCUUUAUCAAUAUAUAUCGUGAUGGGGAUAGAUUAUUGCAAUUAUUAAUCUUGAACGAGGAAUGCCUAGUAAGCAUGAUUCAUCAGAUUGUGCUGACUACGUCCCUGCCCUUUGUACACACCGCCCGUCGCUCCUACCGAUUGAAAGAUAUGAUGAAUUGUUUGGACAAGAAAAAUUGAAUUAUAUUCUUUUUUUUCUGGAAAAACCGUAAAUCCUAUCUUUUAAAGGAAGGAGAAGUCGUAACAAGGUUUCCGUAGGUGAACCUGCGGAAG